This 1011-nucleotide long non-coding RNA is filed under the name Neogobius melanostomus (round goby). RNAcentral describes it as "lncRNA (ENSNMLG00000015615.1)". Lineage: Eukaryota; Metazoa; Chordata; Actinopteri; Gobiiformes; Gobiidae. The record is from RNAcentral.
UGAUAAUGACCUUUUGAUUUGUUAUAAAUUGUAUUAGUCCCGCCUCCCAAGCUGCGGACUGGAUCACUCACUGGUUUUCAGCCUUUUGCACUCUGUGCGAGACAGGCUGUUGACGGUCCGAGCAAAAACCUUUUGGGUCGUCUGGUGAGUUUUAUUUUAAAAAGAAUGAUGUAAACAAAUAUUUACAUUGUCUUUUCGUUGAUUUGGAAUAUUUGUUGUUUAAGUGGAAGGAGCACGAGCUGGAGAGGCUGUGUUGUUGUGCCCCUUGCUGUGUUCCUCACGAUACCUCAUCUUGGCUAGUAUUACACGGUUAAGAAAACCCUGGAUGGAUUUCCUGGAUACUCUCCGGAUGGAGAUGGCGAGCCUGUGCCCAGAACUGGAUUGAACUUCGAAGGACCACCUUCUGUCCUACAGUGCUGAGUGGUAACGCCUUAAAACACCACUUAAAGGAAGAAGAACUGAACAAUAAAGACAAUUGACUUGACACACGACAAAAAAAAAAGAGAAACUGAGCUCAAUGGGACUGGGGAUAUAUUUUUUGUUGCAUAUGCCGGCUAUGCUUAUUGUUAAAUAUCGUUUAUCUUGAACAGUUUUAUUUUUAUUUGGUUUACUAAAUAAUACUUUUUCUUACUUACUCUUUGCCUCCAGCCAUUUCAGUACACACUCACCUUAGUUCCUAUUGUAAUCCUGCUGAACCUAGCAACUGGUCUAUACUUUUAAUUUCGCCUUACCUACUUAACGUGAGUCAGGUGUUACACGCGCACGGUAGAAACAGGCCUGUAAAUGACUUAUGAACACACUGUGUUGCUCUAAAUGUUUGAGCCUUGGGAAAUGUUUGUCGUUGUAAGUAUUAGUGUGUCCAAAGCACCUGUUUAGAAGUCACCAAUUUGUCUCUGUAAUGUUACUUUUGAUAAGUUUGUCACUAGAGUUUUGGAGUUACUGCUGUCUUACAUGUGCAUUGACUAGCUCAUGAUUGUGUUUAGCAUGUUAAGUGUAAAAUAUAUGGUUCGU